CCGGAAUAGAAUAAGAAGAACAGUACUGGUACCUACGGAAAAGAAUGUAAGCCGCCCCCCCCAUCCCCCUGGAGCCCUCCUUGCAUUGCGCUGCCGUUGCGAAAGCAGCGAGAGCCGAAAUGGGAAUUGAAACUCUUGACCAUCCCCCUCCUCUCCCGACCUAAAUCCCAUAGAGGACGCAUGGUAUCUCCUAAAUUCAAAGGUCGUGGCUUUCCCCAGAGUCGUUAAGUCACUUGACGAGCUUUGGGAACAGAUACAGAAGGCAUGGGAUGAGAUCGACCUGGAGCAGAUCAGGGAUCCCAUAGAUGAGAUGGAACAAAGGCGUGUAGCAGUAUGGAAAGCGAAAGGGAAGUCUACCAAGUAUUAGAUUAUUGUAAAUUAUGCAUAGAAUCUGUCU
Molecule: small RNA, 397 nt
Filed under: Cryptococcus neoformans H99
Lineage: Eukaryota; Fungi; Basidiomycota; Tremellomycetes; Tremellales; Cryptococcaceae
Description: Cryptococcus neoformans var. grubii H99 hypothetical RNA
Source: RNAcentral